Molecule: long non-coding RNA, 2053 nt
Filed under: Ficedula albicollis (Collared flycatcher)
Lineage: Eukaryota; Metazoa; Chordata; Aves; Passeriformes; Muscicapidae
Description: lncRNA (ENSFALG00000026020.1)
Source: RNAcentral
GUGGAGGUUCCCAUGGUGGAAGAAAACACUUUUCCAUACAAUCAAUAGGGCUUUGGCAGAGGAAGAUACAAUCUACUAAAAAGAAAUGUAGAUAAACUGGGAGAAGGGGGAGCACUAAAUGUAACUUUAGAUGAAGUGGCACCAAUAAUUUGGUGCUGGUUUGGACGCAGGUGCUCAGGAGGGGUGACCCGAGGAUGUGGGGGGUGAGGCUUUCUCCAGGCAAAGCCUCCUCUCUCCAGCCUGCACUUCACACCUGGAAAUAGAGGCAUCCUUAAGAAAAUUAAUGUUUCUUUUGUGGCCUCAGGAGUGGUCCAGCUUUUGAGAGGCAUCACCCAGCUCCUGACAGCACCACGGGGCUGGAAUCUCACACCCUUCACUGUCCUAAAUUCUGAGAAUUGAAUGGACAGGCAGAAACAAACCAAAGCAGUCAGGCCAAGAUACCAUCAGCCCCGAGUCGUGUUCUCCUCCAGGAGCAUCCAGAGCCAGGACACCCCUCUGUGCACGCAGGAGAAGGGCUUCCCUGAGCAUGCCUGGAAAAAAUGUUCCUGUUUCCAUGAAAAAACGGGAUGGAAUCUCCUUCAGGCCCUGCUGGCAGUGAUGCUCCUGUCACCUCCCCACGUUCCUCCUGCUGGUGUGGGAGCUCGGGGUGGGAAGGAGGAGGGCACAGGGUGGGUCUGAGCCACCUCAGGUUGGAAGGGGAGUCCUUAAAUCUGAGCCUGUUUGGCAGAUAAAGCUCCAGGCUGCCAGGGACAUGGUGUCUGGUGAUGCUUUUAGCAAGACCUCUGGGAGGGGUUUGUCCCACUGCCUGGUUUGUCCCCUCAGGGUGAUGGACACCCUUGUGUAGAGCUGGUUGUUUGCAUGGGGGAUGUCUAAAAGUCACUUUUUAGUCAUGAACACUCACAGGAUUAGAGCAUGGAGAAACUGGGCUUUGAACCACUUCAGAUCCAGCUUCUCCUUGGCACCGUGUGCCAGAAGCCCAAAAUCACCAUUGUUUAGCAGAAGCAGUGGGUGGAGGUGGGAAAAGGAGGAAUGUGGCCUUGAGCAGGACUGUGGGGAGCCAUCACUGACCUGACAGGAGAACCACACUCCUUGUUCUGCCACGGCAUCACAGGUACAUCCCCGGCAGCCACAGCAGUGCCAAAAAUCCGCAUUUGGCUGAAAAAAAUCAGGAGGAUUUAAAUGUUCCAUUCAGGGGCCAUGUGCAGGGACCCCUUGCAUUAGACCAGGUUGCUCCCAGCCCCAUUCAACCUCCCCUGCACAUUUCCAGGGAUGGGCAAUCUUGCAGCCCUGCUGUCCUUGUCACUCCAACACAGCGGUGGCAGAGAAAGCGACGCCUCGUUUGUGCACGGUGAGGAAGGGGUUGUGGAAAAAAUAAAUCAUGGGAAGCCGGUCAUAAAUAUCCUCAUUUACCUCUUCUGCCCCCACCCUCUCUUCAAUCACUAUUCUGUGCAGGUGAUGGAAGGAGUUCAGAAAUGUUAAUAGAUAGCAAAGUGCUGGUGUGUGUUUUAUCAGCUCUCCUGGAACGGUUAAUGCUGAUACCGUGCCCCUUUCAAGUCUAAAAAAUCUGGGCAAGCGUGUGCAGAUAGCAGGGAGUGCACUGAACAAAACAUCAAGGAGAAGAGUCUGUAGGGGGGAAUGGAAAUGGUAAAAGGAUUAUAGGAGAGAAAAUGUAUCGGACUUAUCUGGCGAUACUCGGUAACAAAAGUGUGUCAGUUUAUGAAAUGAACUUCAAAUCCCAUAAAACUAAUUGUGUGUUUUCUUGUCUUAUUUGUGAGUAUCUCUGGCAGUGCUUUUCCCCCCCACUGGAAAAGCAUGUCUUUGUGUGGAUAAUACCCUGUGCCUGCAGUAUAUCAGGAGAUUACACAGCCCAUCGGGUUCGUACCUCUUAAACUAAUGAUGUUAAACUAGUUUAUUAAAAAAAAAAAAAAAAAAAAGAGAGAGGGGGGGGGGGGGGGGGGGGGGGGGGGGGGGGGGGGGGGGGGGGGGGGGGGGGGGGGGGGGGGGGGGGGGGGGGGGGGGGGGGGGGGGGGGGGGGGGGGGGGGGGGGGGGGGG